UUUUGAACAUUUAAUUUAAAA
This is a non-coding RNA of Caenorhabditis elegans, 21 nucleotides long. The record is from Ensembl. NCBI's taxonomy places the organism in Eukaryota, Metazoa, Nematoda, Chromadorea, Rhabditida, Rhabditidae.